This 406-nucleotide ribosomal RNA is filed under the name uncultured bacterium. RNAcentral describes it as "partial 16S ribosomal RNA". It matches the Rfam family "Bacterial small subunit ribosomal RNA", at positions 30 to 526 of the family's 1533-position model. The record is from RNAcentral.
AUUGAACGCUGGCGGCAGGCCUAACACAUGCAAGUCGAACGAGUGGCGGACGGGUGAGUAAUGUCUGGGAAACUGCCUGAUGGAGGGGGAUAACUACUGGAAACGGUAGCUAAUACCGCAUACCAUCGGAUGUGCCCAGAUGGGAUUAGCUAGUAGGUGGGGUAAAGGCUCACCUAGGCGACGAUCCCUAGCUGGUCUGAGAGGAUGACCGGCCACACUGGGACGGAGACACGGCCCAGACUCCUACGGGAGACAGCAGUGGGGAAUAUUGCACAAUGGGGGCAAGCCUGAUGCAGCCAUGCCGCUGGUAUGAAGAAGGCCUUCGGGUUGUAAAGUACUUUAAGCGGGGAGGCGUUACCCGAAGAAGAAGCACCGGCUAACUCCGUGCCAGCAGCCGCGGUAAUUC